Molecule: long non-coding RNA, 249 nt
Filed under: Carica papaya (papaya)
Lineage: Eukaryota; Viridiplantae; Streptophyta; Magnoliopsida; Brassicales; Caricaceae
Description: long non-coding RNA (CPAP_LNC015092)
Source: RNAcentral
UGGAAAAAGCUCGGCGGAGCCAUCGUGGAGAAACCCUAAAACCCUCUUCGAUGACCCCUUACUUGUUUCCCAUUUCGUGUGACUUUUUGACCACCGUGUUAAUUGUCCUUUUAUGGUAUAGGUUAGCUGAAGGAGAACUUUAGCCAUGAAGGAGGACCAGCAGAGCCACCACACUCGGAGACCUUCUGUCGAUAAGGUUUCAAUUUUUUGCUUUUUCUGGUCAACUAAGGCCUCCUAACUCGUAUUUUC